CCUACGGGAGGCAGCAGUGAGGAAUAUUGGUCAAUGGACGAGAGUCUGAACCAGCCAAGUAGCGUGAAGGAUGACUGCCCUAUGGGUUGUAAACUUCUUUUAUAUGGGAAUAAAAUGUUCCACGUGUGGGAUUUUGUAUGUACCAUAUGAAUAAGGAUCGGCUAACUCCGUGCCAGCAGCCGCGGUAAUACGGAGGAUCCGAGUGUUAUCCGGAUUUAUUGGGUUUAAAGGGAGCGUAGGUGGAUUGUUAAGUUAGUUGUGAAAGUUUGCGGCUCAACCGUAAAAUUGCAGUUGAAACUGGCAGUCUUGAGUACAGUAGAGGUGGGCGGAAUUCGUGGUGUAGCGGUGAAAUGCUUAGAUAUCACGAAGAACUCCGAUUGCGAAGGCAGUUCACUGGACUGCAACUGACACUGAGGCUCGAAAGUGUGGGUAUCAAACAGGAUUAGAUACCCCUGUAGUC
This 460-nucleotide ribosomal RNA is filed under the name uncultured bacterium. Its description in RNAcentral is "partial 16S ribosomal RNA". It matches the Rfam family "Bacterial small subunit ribosomal RNA", at positions 338 to 795 of the family's 1533-position model. The record is from RNAcentral.